CCGAGUUUACAACUCCCAAACCCCUGUGAACAUACCACUUGUUGCCUCGGCGGAUCAGCCCGCUCCCGGUAAAACGGGACGGCCCGCCAGAGGACCCCUAAACUCUGUUUCCAUAUGUAACUUCUGAGUAAAACCAUAAAUAAAUCA
RNAcentral lists this unclassified non-coding RNA (147 nucleotides) under soil metagenome. RNAcentral's name for it is "partial internal transcribed spacer 1". The record is from RNAcentral.